This 432-nucleotide ribosomal RNA is filed under the name Cylindroiulus punctatus. RNAcentral's name for it is "partial 16S ribosomal RNA". It matches the Rfam family "Bacterial large subunit ribosomal RNA", at positions 1816 to 2523 of the family's 2925-position model. Lineage: Eukaryota; Metazoa; Arthropoda; Diplopoda; Julida; Julidae. The record is from RNAcentral.
AUGGUUUCUUGAGGCUUAAAUAAGAAAUCUGGCCUGCCCACUGAUAAUUGUUAAAGGGCUGCAGUAUUUUGACUGUACAAAGGUAGCACAAUCAUUAGUCUUUUAAUUAAGGACUAGCAUGAAAGGUUCGACAGAUAAGUAUUAUUUUAUUUAUAGGACUUUGAAUUUUCCUUUUCUGUUAAAAGGCAGAAAUAUAAGUAAUAGACAAGAAGACCCUUUAAAAUUUAAUUUGGUUGAUUUGGGAGCUUUUAUUAUGAAAGUAAAAAGGUUAUAUUAAGUUUUGCUGGGGCGGCAGGAGUAAAUUUACUAUACUAUUAAUAAAUAUAUUGUUUAGCUGUGAUUGUGAUCCUAUAUAAGGAUAAUAAAAUAAAUUACUGAAGGGAUAACAGCGUAAUAUACUUUAAGAGUUCUUAUUGACAAGUAUGUUUGCGA